Long non-coding RNA from Anolis carolinensis (green anole), 588 nucleotides. RefSeq lists it as uncharacterized. The record is from RefSeq and is a predicted model, not a curated record. NCBI's taxonomy places the organism in Eukaryota, Metazoa, Chordata, Lepidosauria, Squamata, Anolidae. The transcript is spliced from 3 exons.
AAUACCAACCAACAAUGACAUCAGAGGGAAUCCCCAGGCAAUGGAAGCCCGGAGUCUACCUGGGCCAUUUCUCAGACAAUCGGGCUGGAGCAGCAAUAACCAUGUGGAGAUCCAGGGCUAUCCUGAUCAAAGCCCUUGGCAGAAAUAGAGACUGGUGUCCCAGGAGCAAGAAGCAGAAAUGAUCACCACCAAAGUUCAUGCUGAGAAAGGUCCAUCACAUGUGGAAGAAAGUUCCUUCCUGUUCUUUAUGUUGUCCGCAUUUGUUGUUUCUUCCCUUAUACAUUUUAGCUAGUUUUGAUGGGGUCAGGUACCAAUUGUUUAUCAUUUUAUUAAAAAAAUCUCUAAGAUUGUAACACCAAUUUUUUUAAGCCAAUAGUCCACAUUUUUUCCAUUUAUCUACGUCUGUGUUGUGCCCGACAUUUUGUGCCCAUUUAAUUAUACAAUCCUUUGUCAGUUCUGUUUCCAUUUCCAUCUUCAAUACUUUAUAUAUUUUUUCAGUAAGGUGUUCUUUAUUAGUACACAGUUUCUUUUCAAAUUCCAAUUGCUCUCUUUCAAAUCCCAUAUUUUAAUAAAAAUGAUUAACUUGCA